AAAUCCGUAUAACAAUACUCCGAGAACUGAAAGGCUUUUUGAAGUCUUCGGAUGGAUAGAAGAACCCCUGAUGCCGUCGAGCCAAGAAAAGUUUCUAAGUUUAGCUAAUGUUGCCCGUACCGUAAACCGACACAGGUGGGUGGGAUGAGUAUUCUAAGGCGCGUGGAAGAACUCUCUUUAAGGAACUCUGCAAAAUAGCACCGUAUCUUCGGUAUAAGGUGUGGUUAGCUUCGUACUAGGAUUUACUCCGAAAGCGAAGAAACUUACAACAAAGAGUCCCUCCCGACUGUUUACCAAAAACACAGCACUCUGCUAACUCGUAAGAGGAUGUAUAGGGUGUGACGCCUGCCCGGUGCUCGAAGGUUAAUUGAUGGGGUUAGCAUUAGCGAAGCUCUUGAUCGAAGCCCGAGUAAACGGCGGCCGUAACUAUAACGGUCCUAAGGUAGCGAAAUUCCUUGUCGGUUAAAUACCGACCUGCAUGAAUGGCGUAACGAGAUGGGAGCUGUCUCAAAGAGGGAUCCAGUGAAAUUGUAGUGGAGGUGAAAAUUCCUCCUACCCGCGGCAAGACGGAAAGACCCCGUGGACCUU
Molecule: ribosomal RNA, 588 nt
Filed under: Campylobacter jejuni
Lineage: Bacteria; Pseudomonadati; Campylobacterota; Epsilonproteobacteria; Campylobacterales; Campylobacteraceae
Description: partial 23S ribosomal RNA
Rfam family: Bacterial large subunit ribosomal RNA
Source: RNAcentral